Ribosomal RNA from Otolemur garnettii (small-eared galago), 119 nucleotides. NCBI's taxonomy places the organism in Eukaryota, Metazoa, Chordata, Mammalia, Primates, Galagidae. The record is from Ensembl.
GUCUAUGGCCAUACCACCCUGAACGUGCCCGAGCUCCUCUGAUCUCAGAAGCUUAGCAGGGUUGGGCCUGGUUAGAACUUGGAUGGGAGACUGCCUGGGAAUAUUGGGUGCUGUAGGCU